This 402-nucleotide ribosomal RNA is filed under the name uncultured bacterium. RNAcentral describes it as "bacterial SSU rRNA". It matches the Rfam family "Bacterial small subunit ribosomal RNA", at positions 355 to 774 of the family's 1533-position model. The record is from RNAcentral.
UGGGGAAUAUUGGACAAUGGGCGAAAGCCUGAUCCAGCAAUGCCGCGUGAGUGAUGAAGGCCCUAGGGUUGUAAAGCUCUUUUACCCGGGAUGAUAAUGACAGUACCGGGAGAAUAAGCUCCGGCUAACUUCGUGCCAGCAGCCGCGGUAAUACGAGGGGAGCUAGCGUUGUUCGGAAUUAAUGGGCGUAAAGCGCGCGUAGGCGGUUUUUUAAGUCAGAGGUGAAAGCCCGGGGCUCAACCCCGGAAUUGCCUUUGAAACUGGAAAACUAGAAUCUUGGAGAGGUCAGUGGAAUUCCGAGUGUAGAGGUGAAAUUCGUAGGUAUUCGGAAGAACACCAGUGGCGAAGGCGACUGACUGGACAAGUAUUGACGCUGAGGUGCGAAAGCGUGGGGAGCAAACA